Molecule: ribosomal RNA, 380 nt
Filed under: uncultured archaeon
Lineage: Archaea
Description: bacterial SSU rRNA
Rfam family: Archaeal small subunit ribosomal RNA
Source: RNAcentral
UAAAACCAGCUCUUCAAGUGGUCGGGAAUUUUAUUGGGCUUAAAGUGUCCGUAGCCGGUUAGAUAAGUUCCUGGUUAAAUCUGGCAGCUUAACUGUCAGUUCGCUAGGAAUACUAUCUUACUAGAGGGUGGGAGAGGUUUGAGGUACUCCAGGGGUAGCGGUGAAAUGCGAUAAUCCUUGGGGGACCACCAGUGGCGAAGGCGUCAGACUGGAACACGCCUGACGGUGAGGGACGAAAGCCAGGGGAGCGAACGGGAUUAGAUACCCCGGUAGUCCUGGCUGUAAACGAUGCGUGCUAGGUGUUGGUAGGGCUUGGAGCUGUAUCAGUGCCAAAGGGAAACUGUUAAGCGCGCCGCCUGGGAAGUACGCUCGCAAGAGUG